Long non-coding RNA from Spinacia oleracea (spinach), 618 nucleotides. RefSeq lists it as uncharacterized. The record is from RefSeq and is a predicted model, not a curated record. Lineage: Eukaryota; Viridiplantae; Streptophyta; Magnoliopsida; Caryophyllales; Amaranthaceae. The transcript is spliced from 3 exons.
GCCGUUUCUCUAAUUUCCCCUCUCACAAUCAUCAUCAACCUCCAUUAAUCUUCAAAUGCUUGUUUCAAUAGAUCGGUGUUGGCCACAACCACCGCUCGUCUGUCUCCGGCGACCAAGGUGUUUCCACUCUUUCUUCAAUCCAUUCCAGAACCUGUUUUUGUAGCUUCAUCCUCGUAAGAAAAUGAACAACGUGGCGGGUGUAGGGAUCUCGCAAGGACAUUCGUAGGACAUAGUACGUGUAUGCAAGGUUUGUAAAGGUAUUUGGCUACGAGUGAGGAGACACUAAGAAUAACCACCUAGUCAAGAGGCAAUUUCUAUUUCAGUCUAAGUUGGAUUUUGUUAUUUAUUUUAUGGGUUUUGGUUGUAACUUUUUAUGGGCCACCUUUUAGACCACUUGGUUAAUUUUGACUUUAAUAGUUUUAAAUUGUUUUGUUGCUUUGCAUUUAUUUUCUAUGGAGAAUAAAUGUAGCAGUGACACUCCCAAGGUUUGGACGGUUGUUUUAUGAAAUAAUAAGAGGGUUUUUGAUUAUAUAAAAAGGUCUAAAUUUUGGGGGUGUUAUAGUGAGUCUUGAAAUGAACCUACUGAUAUAUUGUAGUCUGCCGAGAAAACCCCAAAUU